UUGGGUGUGAGCUUAAACUUCGCGCGGAAUAUUUUUUAGUUUGAUACCAGAGCAGAGAAUGAAGCCACUCUCCCACUGUGUGUGUGUGUCGUAAGCCGAGUUGUUCUCUAGCUGGGCCUGCCACGCGUACAUCCAACACAACAUCACCCACAUUACUUAACGUGUGGAGAAAACUGGACGAAUGGAGGGAGGCAAAGAUGGAGAAAGGGAGUAAUGAAGCUAUGUAUGUGCUUUCCCUGGUGGUUUUAAUGGGUGCAGAAAGCCAUGAAGCUCACGAGGACGCUCGCAACGAAAGAAACAACAUUUCUACUAUUCCUUGUACUCAACAAUGAAGAGAGUUCUCUCCUGCACUGCUGAUGCGUGAGGUUAUCCAGUUCAACCCCAUCAAUGGUCAAAGCCCCCAUCGAUUGAGACGGAAAGAACAAAAUCAUUUUGAAUCCAUGGCGUUGCUUCACCAAGAUGCUGUGAAUCCCAAAAGGAAACGGAAGAGAAUGAAUCCAGGCAUGUGAUUACGCAGGUAUAAAUGAUUUUCUACAGAUUGCUCCCACAUUACAACAAGCAAUGUGUGUAAAUC
Long non-coding RNA from Cottoperca gobio, 574 nucleotides. RefSeq lists it as uncharacterized. NCBI's taxonomy places the organism in Eukaryota, Metazoa, Chordata, Actinopteri, Perciformes, Bovichtidae. The transcript is spliced from 6 exons. The record is from RefSeq and is a predicted model, not a curated record.